RNAcentral lists this ribosomal RNA (1626 nucleotides) under human metagenome. RNAcentral's name for it is "bacterial LSU rRNA". It matches the Rfam family "Bacterial large subunit ribosomal RNA", at positions 984 to 2495 of the family's 2925-position model. The record is from RNAcentral.
UGAGACUGUGGGGGAUAAGCUUCAUAGUCGAGAGGGAAACAGCCCAGAUCGCCGGUUAAGGCCCCUAAGGGUGUACUAAGUGGAAAAGGAUGUGGGAUCGCGAAGACAGCCAGGAGGUUGGCUUAGAAGCAGCCAUCCUUGAAAGAGUGCGUAAUAGCUCACUGAUCGAGUGGUUCUGCGCCGACAAUGUAGUGGGGCUCAAGUACACCGCCGAAGCCGCGGCAACAAUUUUUUGUUGGGUAGGGGAGCGUCGUGCAUGGGUUGAAGCGUUACCGUAAGGAGGCGUGGACUGUGUGCGAGUGAGAAUGCAGGCAUGAGUAACGAAUUGAUAGGUGAGAAUCCUAUCCGCCGGAUGACUAAGGGUUCCUGGGUCAAGUUCGUCUUCCCAGGGUGAGUCGGGACCUAAGGCGAGGCCGACAGGCGUAGUCGAUGGAUAACCAGUUGAUAUUCUGGUACCCGUACAUGCGCGCCCAUGAUAAAGCACUGAUACUAACCACCGCGGAUGCAUUGCUGGUCUUCUUUGAAGUCUGGUGGUGUUGAUGUCGUGGGGCCUGAUGUGUGGUUCAAGUGAUGGGGUGACGCAGUGAGGUAGCCACGCCACUUAUUGGAUUGGUGGUGUAAGCGUGCAGACCGUGUGGUAGGUAAAUCCGCCGCACAUUUUGGUUGAGGCGUGAUGCGUAGACCCAUUGGGGUUGAUGGUGGUGAUCCUGUACUGUCGAGAAAAGCCUCUAGCGAUGUGUGUGUAUGGCCCGUACCCUAAACCGACACAGGUGGUCAGGUUGAAAAUACUAAGGCGUUCGGGUGAACUGUGGUUAAGGAAUUCGGCAAAAUGCCCCCGUAACUUCGGGAGAAGGGGGGCCCUACGAUGUGAGCACUCUUGCGGUGUUAAGCGUUGUGGGGUCGCAGAGAAUAGAGGGAAGCGACUGUUUAUCAAAAACACAGGUCCAUGCGAAGACGUUAAGUUGAUGUAUAUGGACUGACGCCUGCCCGGUGCUGGAAGGUUAAGAGGACCGGUUAGUCAACGUUGUUGGCGAAGCUGAGAAUUUAAGCCCCAGUAAACGGCGGUGGUAACUAUAACCAUCCUAAGGUAGCGAAAUUCCUUGUCGGGUAAGUUCCGACCUGCACGAAUGGCGUAACGACUUCUCUGCUGUCUCAACCACAGGCCCGGUGAAAUUGCACUACGAGUAAAGAUGCUCGUUACGCGCGGCAGGACGAAAAGACCCCGGGACCUUCACUAUAGCUUGGUAUUGGUGUUUGGUUCGGUUUGUGUAGGAUAGGUGGGAGACUUAGAAGCUAUCACGCUAGUGGUGGUGGAGUCGUUGUUGAAAUACCACUCUGAUCGGAUUGAGCAUCUAACCUUGGCCCAUGAUCUGGGUUGGGGACAGUGCCUGGUGGGUAGUUUAACUGGGGCGGUUGCCUCCCAAAAUGUAACGGAGGCGCCCAAAGGUUCCCUCAGCCUGGUUGGCAAUCAGGUGGUGAGUGUAAGUGCACAAGGGAGCUUGACUGUGAGACAGACAUGUCGAGCAGGGACGAAAGUCGGGACUAGUGAUCCGGCACCUACUUGUGGAUGUGGUGUCGCUCAACGGAUAAAAGGUACCCCGGGGAUAACAGGCUGAUCUUCCCCAA